CUCGUACGAUACCUCAUUCUCACACGAGCCAUCUUCUCCACCCGACCCGCGCCCUCUCCUCCUCUUUCUCGCGAUUCCCUGACGCCGAUCGCGACGGGCUCACCGCCGGCAGCAGCAGUCCUUCCCUCAUCCUUCCCUUUGCGUGAUCUACCGACACCCUCUCUUUUCCUCUUUCUCAUGUCUCUGCUCUAGAUCGCUGAUGGAGAGCCUGCUCCACUUGCGAUCUCGACUUCGUCGCACAUCGGAGGGCAAAUGUUGUCUAAUCUCAACGGAAUCGACCAUCGCCGGCUGAGAGGUCGUUUCCUUGGCGGUUCUUACGCACGAUCGGCAUCUGCUCGGCGCCUAGGUCAUCACAAGUGGCUCUCGGUCAAGAGGGGGAAACCAACCCUAGAUUGGAUCUUUCUUCUCCUCACUCACGAGCUGGGCCUCUGAUCGCCGGAAUACCUAGUCCCAGUUAUUCCCUGGCUUGACGAGGAGGAUUUGCCACAGGAAGAUCCCUACCACAGCAAUGGAUCUCAGGCAUAAACAAGUUAUUGGAUCAAUCCUUAUAGCACCAUCCCUGGUUGCAACAGCAAUUCCACCAGUGGUCACUGUGAAUUUGGGUUUCUUGUCUCCUAUGUUUGUGCCGGACCAGCUACAGAUGGUUGGGGAAACUCCAUCUUUCUCCACAGCAAACUUUGGAUUUCUUCAUCAAAGGGUGUGAAUCUAUUUUAGAUCGAGAACUUUGUUUCGAGGCGAGCGUUUCGACGUGGGAUUGAUUUAUCUAGCACGAUCGACAGAUUUAAGGCGGG
This is a long non-coding RNA of Zingiber officinale, 791 nucleotides long. RefSeq lists it as uncharacterized. The record is from RefSeq and is a predicted model, not a curated record. Lineage: Eukaryota; Viridiplantae; Streptophyta; Magnoliopsida; Zingiberales; Zingiberaceae. The transcript has 4 exons.